UUGAUUGUUUUCUUUGUGGGUGCUUGAUUCAGAAACUCUGCAGCGAUUCGGACAUUCUUCUUUUUUUUUUAGGUAGAAGUGACUGUGUGGUUGGUCUCUGUGAGUUAUUUGGGGGACGCUGUAUUUGCUCGCAUAUGUAUUGGAGAAUCCAAGUGGCUUUGGAGUCUUGUCCUAUCUCACUCCCUCCCUUUCCCACUCCCUUGGUUCCUUAGGAAAUGCUUUAUUUUGUGAGUGCACGCAGGCUUGAUGGAGCCCUAUCCUGUGUAAAUGUUCCUCAUGUUUCUGGAAAGUGCUGUAGUGUAGUCUCACCCCAUCCAGCCUCCCAAACAGGGCCAACUAUCUAAUUCCGAGAAUCUGAAAGAAGAGAAAGACUGUGGACACACACCCCCUCCCCCAAAAAACCCAGCUCAGCUGCAGGAAAACCCCUAUCCUCAGGGAGCCCGCGGACUGACUUCCAGAGAGGCCUACCAAGAAGCCCUGGGCCCUGGGACACGAGGUUGGGGUGGGGUUGAGGAGAGGCUUAGUCCUUGGAGCACGGGGAAGCUACUUUCUCCCCAGGAGGGCUGGGCUCCCUGGGGCGGCCUCGGGAGGUGGCCCUCCAUAUUCCUGCCUGAGGACCAGUUGUAAAUGUUACCGCUUCCUACAAAUAAAUGCUGAUCUGAACAAAUGG
RNAcentral lists this long non-coding RNA (670 nucleotides) under Rattus norvegicus (Norway rat). Its description in RNAcentral is "long non-coding RNA NONRATT018267". The record is from RNAcentral. Lineage: Eukaryota; Metazoa; Chordata; Mammalia; Rodentia; Muridae.